GCUGAAGAACGCAGCGAAAUGCGAUACUUGGUGUGAAUUGCAGAAUCCCGUGAACCAUCGAGUCUUUGAACGCAAGUUGCGCCCGAAGCCAUCAGGUUGAGGGCACGUCUGCCUGGGCGUCACAUAUCGUUGCCCAAUGCCUAUUGCAGUGCAAUAGGAAUUUCUAGGGCGAAUGAUGGCUUCCCGUGAGCGUUGUUGCCUCGCGGUUGGUUGAAAAUCGAGUCCUUGGUAGGGUGUGCCAUGGUAGAUGGUGGUCGAGUUAGAACGAUACCGAUCAUGUGCAUGCUCCCCAAAAUAUGGCCUCUAUGACCCACACGCGUCUUUUGACGCUCAUGACGAGACCUCAGGUCAGGCGGGGCUACCCGCUGAAUUUAAGCAUAUCAAUAAGCGGAGGA
Molecule: unclassified non-coding RNA, 395 nt
Filed under: soil metagenome
Description: partial contains 5.8S ribosomal RNA, internal transcribed spacer 2, and large subunit ribosomal RNA
Rfam family: 5.8S ribosomal RNA (bases 3-122)
Source: RNAcentral